GAUGAACGCUGGCGGUAUGCUUAACACAUGCAAGUCGAACGGACUCUUCGGAGUUAGUGGCGGACGGGUGAGUAACGCGUGAGAAUCUGGCUUUGGGUUCGGGACAACCACUAGAAACGGUGGCUAAUACCGGAUGUGCCGAGAGGUAAAAGAGAAAUUGCCUGAAGAUGAGCUCGCGUCUGAUUAGCUAGUUGGUGAGGUAAAGGCUCACCAAGGCAGCGAUCAGUAGCUGGUCUGAGAGGAUGACCAGCCACACUGGGACUGAGACACGGCCCAGACUCCUACGGGAGGCAGCAGUGGGGAAUUUUCCGCAAUGGGCGAAAGCCUGACGGAGCAAUACCGCGUGAGGGAAGAAGGCUCUUGGGUUGUAAACCUCUUUUCUUAGGGAAGAACAAAAUGACGGUACCUAAGGAAUCAGCAUCGGCUAACUCCGUG
This 435-nucleotide ribosomal RNA is filed under the name uncultured bacterium. RNAcentral describes it as "partial 16S ribosomal RNA". It matches the Rfam family "Bacterial small subunit ribosomal RNA", at positions 28 to 507 of the family's 1533-position model. The record is from RNAcentral.